Molecule: long non-coding RNA, 351 nt
Filed under: Mus pahari (shrew mouse)
Lineage: Eukaryota; Metazoa; Chordata; Mammalia; Rodentia; Muridae
Description: lncRNA (MGP_PahariEiJ_G0004546.1)
Source: RNAcentral
UUCAAAAUAUGUGCUUCGCUAAACUGGUUGAGGACACACUGGAGCGUUUCCUGUGAGGGCUUUUUAAGGCAUGUAAGAGUCUUGCUCUCUUCAAAAAGUGCACUCAGCUUGUUUACACCCUGGGUGAUAAGAAUAAGAAGCUCCGGAUGUGGUGUCAAGAAGUUCAGUGUUGCCUCUGUCAUCUGGAUCCUGGGUGACUGAGAGACUGAAGGGAUUUUUAGAGAGAUUGACUCUGAGGAAUGUUCCCAUGAAUCCUGUCUACCCAGGCUGCAACUUGAAUGCCAGAACACAUUGUUUGAAUGCAUAAUUCAAGGUCAAUGAGAAGGUGUUCCAUUGUAUGAUUUAGUCAUG